This 230-nucleotide long non-coding RNA is filed under the name Fragaria vesca (wild strawberry). RNAcentral describes it as "long non-coding RNA (FVES_LNC005355)". Lineage: Eukaryota; Viridiplantae; Streptophyta; Magnoliopsida; Rosales; Rosaceae. The record is from RNAcentral.
CCAUGUUUUUUCUUGGGAAUACCUUUUGGAACCCAUGUUGAUGUGUUCAUCAGGUCGUCCUCGUCGUCCGUACCAUAUAGGUCUUCAUCGUCCGUACCAUAUAGAUCGUCCUCAUCGUCCUCACCAUGUACUUUGAGCUGCUUCAGACUAUGUAACCUUCCCCUCUCAUAUUCCACAAAAACGUCGAUUAAACCAGUACGUGGGCAAUCAUACCACCAUAGCUUCUCUGC